Molecule: ribosomal RNA, 876 nt
Filed under: Staphylococcus aureus
Lineage: Bacteria; Bacillati; Bacillota; Bacilli; Caryophanales; Staphylococcaceae
Description: partial 23S ribosomal RNA
Rfam family: Bacterial large subunit ribosomal RNA
Source: RNAcentral
GUGAAAUUCCGUCGGAAUCUGGGAGGACCAUCUCCUAAGGCUAAAUACUCUCUAGUGACCGAUAGUGAACCAGUACCGUGAGGGAAAGGUGAAAAGCACCCCGGAAGGGGAGUGAAAUAGAACCUGAAACCGUGUGCUUACAAGUAGUCAGAGCCCGUUAAUGGGUGAUGGCGUGCCUUUUGUAGAAUGAACCGGCGAGUUACGAUUUGAUGCAAGGUUAAGCAGUAAAUGUGGAGCCGUAGCGAAAGCGAGUCUGAAUAGGGCGUUUAGUAUUUGGUCGUAGACCCGAAACCAGGUGAUCUACCCUUGGUCAGGUUGAAGUUCAGGUAACACUGAAUGGAGGACCGAACCGACUUACGUUGAAAAGUGAGCGGAUGAACUGAGGGUAGCGGAGAAAUUCCAAUCGAACCUGGAGAUAGCUGGUUCUCUCCGAAAUAGCUUUAGGGCUAGCCUCAAGUGAUGAUUAUUGGAGGUAGAGCACUGUUUGGACGAGGGGCCCCUCUCGGGUUACCGAAUUCAGACAAACUCCGAAUGCCAAUUAAUUUAACUUGGGAGUCAGAACAUGGGUGAUAAGGUCCGUGUUCGAAAGGGAAACAGCCCAGACCACCAGCUAAGGUCCCAAAAUAUAUGUUAAGUGGAAAAGGAUGUGGCGUUGCCCAGACAACUAGGAUGUUGGCUUAGAAGCAGCCAUCAUUUAAAGAGUGCGUAAUAGCUCACUAGUCGAGUGACACUGCGCCGAAAAUGUACCGGGGCUAAACAUAUUACCGAAGCUGUGGAUUGUCCUUUGGACAAUGGUAGGAGAGCGUUCUAAGGGCGUUGAAGCAUGAUCGUAAGGACAUGUGGAGCGCUUAGAAGUGAGAAUGCCGGUGUGAGUAG